This 429-nucleotide ribosomal RNA is filed under the name Bacillota bacterium. RNAcentral describes it as "Firmicutes bacterium partial 16S ribosomal RNA". It matches the Rfam family "Bacterial small subunit ribosomal RNA", at positions 355 to 776 of the family's 1533-position model. The record is from RNAcentral. Lineage: Bacteria; Bacillati; Bacillota.
UGGGGAAUAUUGGACAAUGGGCGCAAGCCUGAUCCAGCAACGCCGCGUGGAGGACGAAGGUCUUCGGAUCGUAAACUCCUGUCAGGCGGGACGAAGGGACUUUGGUGAACAGCCGGAGUUCUUGACGGUACCGCCAGAGGAAGCCCCGGCUAACUCCGUGCCAGCAGCCGCGGUAAUACGGAGGGGGCGAGCGUUAUUCGGAAUUAUUGGGCGUAAAGGGCGCGUAGGCGGCAUGGUAAGUCAAAGGUGAAAUCCCUCGGCUCAACUGAGGAAUUGCCUUUGAAACUGCCAAGCUUGAGGCCGGGAGGGGGUAGCGGAAUUCCCAGUGUAGCGGUGAAAUGCGUAGAUACUGGGAGGAACACCGGUGGCGAAGGCGGCUACCUGGACCGGAUCUGACGCUGAUGCGCGAAAGCGUGGGGAGCAAACAGG